RNAcentral lists this transfer RNA (64 nucleotides) under Cryptotympana facialis. RNAcentral describes it as "tRNA-Pro". Lineage: Eukaryota; Metazoa; Arthropoda; Insecta; Hemiptera; Cicadidae. The record is from RNAcentral.
CAGGAUAUAGUUUAAUAAAAAUAUAAAUUUUGGAGAUUUAAGAUAAAUUUUAUAUUUAUUCUGA